This 404-nucleotide ribosomal RNA is filed under the name uncultured bacterium. RNAcentral's name for it is "bacterial SSU rRNA". It matches the Rfam family "Bacterial small subunit ribosomal RNA", at positions 11 to 414 of the family's 1533-position model. The record is from RNAcentral.
GUUUGAUCCUGGCUCAGAUUGAACGCUGGCGGCAUGCUUUACACAUGCAAGUCGAACGGCAGCGGGGGCUUCGGCCUGCCGGCGAGUGGCGAACGGGUGAGUAAUGCAUCGGAACGUGCCCAUGUCGUGGGGGAUAACGUAGCGAAAGCUACGCUAAUACCGCAUACGCCCUGAGGGGGAAAGCGGGGGAUUCUUCGGAACCUCGCGCGAUUUGGAGCGGCCGAUGUCGGAUUAGCUAGUAGGUGAGGUAAAGGCUCACCUAGGCGACGAUCCGUAGCGGGUCUGAGAGGAUGAUCCGCACACUGGGACUGAGACACGGCCCCAGACUCCUACGGUAGGCAGCAGUGGGGAAUUUUGGACAAUGGCGCAAGCCUGAUCCAGCCAUGCCGCGUGAGUGAAGAAGG